Molecule: long non-coding RNA, 17588 nt
Organism: Columba livia (rock pigeon)
Lineage: Eukaryota; Metazoa; Chordata; Aves; Columbiformes; Columbidae
Exons: 3
Source: RefSeq, a predicted model, not a curated record
AUGAGUUAAGGUUAUGUGAAACCUAAGUGGAGAAUUUUCUAACCAAAGUCCUCUGAAUCUUCCUCUCGUAAGGUGCCACUGGCCUGUUGGGUGUUCAGUGUUAGAUAGUCUGAAUUCUGUUCUGUGUUAAACAUACUACCUACUCAGAGUAGCAAAAAUUUGCAUCCAUUUUUUUACAGGAAUGAACUGAAUGCACCACCAAACUAGUGAGUCUCCAUCAGAAUUUAGGCCUAAAUUAUGCUUUAAUUCCAUCAGGCCAUGAGUUUAUCUCCUAGAUGUUGUAAGGUAGGAUGUUACAUUGCUGUUUCUAUUCUUUUCUGAAAGAAUGAUCGAUAGAAGACAUGAUGGAUAGUGGUAGGCAAAGAAAGAGUGAUCCUGGUUGUGAAAGAUACUGAUAACAUUUUGCCUUGUGUGGCAAACUUUAAUUUCAUGAAAAUGCUAACACAAAACAUCCCUUUCACUCAAGCAACACCUAUUUGAAGGCUUCUGUUCUCUGACUUGCAGCUCGAAAAAAUAUGGCACAGAAACUCUCCAGUUAUCUCACUGUCAGAAACUCAAUGUUUCUGUCUUCAAAGCUGUUUACAGCAAUGCUGCAUUGAAAAAGGCUACUCUCACAUUUCCUGAGCCAUUAUCCCAGCUCAGUGUCCUAAAAGAAAUUCUCUCUGCUAUUUAUUUUUCCUUUUUGUUCUAGCUAAACCUAGGUACUGUGUACAGUUCCCUAAUCUUCAGCCUCUUUGUCUAAAUAAUGUUACGUGUCACUGUUAAUGUAGAUGUAGAUCAGAGUACUGUAUAGCAUUAUUUAUUAAAUUACUGUGGUUAUUACUUCAUCUUUUCAUCAAAAAAGGAAUAGGAAUUAUGCCUGUGACCACUCUCUCCCAAAUAUUUCUAUACUGUCAUGAAACAUCUGAGAAUAAAAUACAAUAAAAUUUCUUUUCCUUCUUUUGUAUCAAAAUGAAUCUGACAUACUGUCAGAAAAAACUAUCUCAGUUUCAGGAAAAUCAUUCAUGGUUCAUUGCACUAACAUUAUUCAACAUGCAUUAAAAGCCAUUUCACAGAAUGAAAUGACAAAUACAUGUGAAGAAUGUACUGUCUUUUUGAAACACGCCAUCUUCUUACAGUCUUUCUCUGUGCUUUCCAAAUCAGAAAUUAGGCAGGAGGGAACUGGCUCAAAAUUGAACUCAACAAAAACAAGUCAGCAAAGAAGUAAAAAAAUGAAAGAUAAGUCUUUCAGACCUAGAUUUUGGUUUUGAUAAUUUAAAAGAUUUUCAUUUAUUAAUUUAUCAUAUUUUUACUUGCAGAUAUUAAAAAAUACUCAUAGUGAGCUGGAGGUAGGUAUGAAAAAAAAAAAAAAGAAGUAACUUUAAAAAGCUUGUAGAACUGAACCAUUAUAUUGUUAUAUAGUCUAACAAUUAACAUUUAAAAUUUAAGCUGGCUUACUUCACUAUAUCACAAUUGCAUCUGUAAAGAUGUCUGCAGCUGGCAUUGUUUCUGAGUGUAUGGAAAGCAGAUUAAAACAGCAAUAUCUUUCAGUGUUUGUGGGUAAAUUAUUUAUGUAAUAUUCCUCUAAGUAAGAAAAAUGUGGAGAGAUGUUUUAGCAUAAGACUCUUUUUUAAAGUCUUUUAAUGUUAUAAUUGCAUUGUUGGCUAUCGCAAAGCUCUGGAAUAGGAAAUUAACAUAUGAAGUACCAUGUUUCAUAUGAUGUCUAUUUCAUAUAAUUUACUCUGUCCAACAGCAUAGACCAGACAGACAUGUGAUGAGGAAUUAAACCUCCCAUGUUCAACAUCUGUCUCCUCUAGCUUCUUUCUUACAAUCUGGUCCUGUUCUCACUUUCACCUGAUGUCCUUACACAUUUCCUUUUUGAAAUUGCUGAUUAUUUCUCUCACCAUUGUGCAUAUGGCUGUGUCUUUUCAUUUCACGGACAGUGAGAAGAAAAUCAAGCUUGGAGUAGCUCAAAUGACUUCAAAGGAAAUUCUCUAUGGAUACUUUCCUCUCUAUUAGUAUAAAUUUGCUAAUUAUUUCUGACUCUUAAUUCCUCAGCUGAACAAGAAAACUGUUUAAAACCCUGGCAUCACUACGUGAAUUUUGUACAACAGCUUUUGGAGGAAGAGUCACUGAGGACCUUGUGAACAAAAAAGUGAUUAAAAUGACUAGAAGAGAGGUUCUGAAUAGACUACUGAUGUAUUGUUUUCACAGUAAGUAGCACAUAGCAUAAAACCAUAAAGCAAUAAGCUUUCUGCUUUACUUUCCCCAGGAAGCUGUCUUACAUUUCCUUUAGUCCACUUAUUUUCAUUUUUAUACUGAAAUUAGCAGAUUCCUCAUUGCAAUAUCCAUGUUCUCUCUCAUCAGAUAAGCCUAGUGUCCUUCUUCCCCCUUGUUACCCAGAAUUGUACGUUUCAAGUUUGGUUUUUACUUGUAUGCCAAGCUUAGUCCGGACUAGGGGAUAUCACUCUGGGAUUGAGCAUCCCACUAUUCCCCCAGAGUCUCAGUGUUACUGAUUCCAGCAUCUUCAUUCUUGCAACUGUCACAUUUCCUGCUGAUUUCCUUUGUACUGAUCUGUCAGUCUUAACUUUGGAUAUGCAGCAGGAUGUUAUCAUUACAUUAAACUAAGGAUCAUAUAAAGGUUCUAUCACAGUAUGCUAAUCUUAUGGUAAAGGACAAGUGAAUUUACAUAGCACCAAAGUUAAUUUUUAUUCUUAGCAUAUAUAUGUGUAUAUAUAUGUGUCUGUACACAUGCACAAUUUAAGGAUAUUUUUUAAGGUCUCUAAUUUUAAUUUUUGGAUAAUUAGAAAUCAGUUGCUUUCUGAAAUAUUUUUGGUUCUUUUUCCUAGAUAAAUGCCUUUGAAUACAUAUUCAGCAGUUGUCCUGGUUUUGUUAAAAACAAGACCAUUUCUCUUUUAGUGAAUUUUCCUUUCAGCUAAUUUAUUCUAAGUACCUUCUAAGUAACUGCAUGUUUUUUUUCGGACACUGUGCUCUGAAACUGCUAAGAGCGACCAAUGGAAUGCAGAAGAAGCUCAUAUUUAGAUUUAUUGCUAUAACAACCAAGAAUUCUGAUAAAAUUAUGCCAGCUCCGCAGCGAAGAAGGGCGUUUUUGCAAGGAGGCAUGGACAGAACAGGUGACUAAAACUGACCGAGUAUUGCAUCCCAUACAUGUCAUACACCCUAUAAAAGUGGGAGAUCACAAGGGUCUCCCUCUCUUCAACCAUGGCCAGCAUCUGGAGAGGACCCUGCCUGCUGUGCCUGUGAUCCGAGGCCUGUUCCAGACCCUGUAUUCCUGAAUUCAGUUCCAGUUUUCUAUGAAGUCCCACCCAUGACUUCCGCGUGCCUGCCCUGCAGCCGCUGGAGUCACGCCAACUUCACAUUGGGCAAAACUGCUACCCCGGGAGAUUCAAGAUGCAACCAUAAUUGUUUUUUGAGAAUCAACCAAACUAGAGGCAAGUAUUUCAAAUGCUGUUGUUAUGAACAAGCAGUCGAGUAGUUAAGAAAUGGCUACUUCCUGUAUACUAAGCCAAAAAAAUAAAUACAGUAUAUGUUUAAAUUGUUCAUUCAGCAGAUUAUUUACUCUUCACACCAGAUCCCACAGAGAGUGGACUAGCAGUCUCUGUGCAGGCUAAGUUGUUCACACAGAACAUUCUCCAGAGUACAGAAACCAGUUUUGCAGGACAGAUAAUUAGUUCACUUUUCCUUUAAUAGGUCUGCAUCUCACUCAGCCCUUCUGAGAAGGACUUGCACUUUCUUCUUAAGUCAAAAGAUUCAGGCUUUGUUUCUGCGUUUUUCAUUCCAGCUUGAAUAUUAUAAAUCCAGCAGUUAAUGAAACAGUUGUGAUAAUGCCCAUUUUACAGCCCAGCUUUUAGGAAGUCAUUAAUUACCAGAGCAAUUAAGUUUGACCUUUAUGCUUUCACAUGUCCUUUUUUAAUGUGGAAAGAAUAUACAUAUGUACACACAUACAUACAUAUAUGUAAAAAUAAAUGAUCUAAUAAAUGUUUUGGUCAGUGUCUUAUAUCCCCAGGAGAUUUCAGAUGAUUGUCAAGGUGCAAUAAAUACUGGAGAAAGAAAACACGGAAAUUACUGCAGCCUGAUGGACUUACUAGUCUGAUGAACGUUUUAUGCCUCAGUCUUUUUAUGUCACCACAGUUUAUACUACUGCAGUGACCAGAAUGAUCUCUACCAUCGUUGAAUCUCCGACUGUGCUGUUAUCUGCUCAUAAAAGAUUUGAACUUUCAUUUUUUCUCACUAAAAGCAGUAUCCUUUAGCAAAAUAGCAUUCCUUGCACUUAAUUUGUUUCCAUCUCAACAUACUCUAUCCUUCAAAUGUCAUCUUUGCUUAUCUGCAAUAGAAAACAAGAAUUUCUCCAGCAACUAGAAAAUAUUGGAACUUAGCUUUACUUUGAGACUUCUGUUUAAAAAAAAAAAAAAAAAAAAUGUAUAUAUAUAUAUAUGUAUAUAUAUAUAUAUAAAGGCUAUUUCUGGGCAUAUUAAUGCAUUUUUUAAUUGCUGUACUUGAGGAAAUAUGCCUCUAUCAACAAAUGCGUAAUAGUUCCUAACCAAACAUUAAUAGAAUUUAAUCUUUACAAUAUGACAAUGUUGUUAAAAUAGAUAAUGCAGUUGUUUGGAUUUUUUAUAAGAACCUUUUUCCUUGAUUUGUAUAAUAAUAAAAUCUAAAUGUAGCAUUUGGCCUGGCAGUCUAGUGAUGCCUUAUAUCCAGUACAUUUGUGUCACAUGUGUUACAGAAAGAUCGUACAGGGUACAACGAGACAAAAUUAUCAGCAAUUUAUUGUGUUAUAAUUUCAUCAUGCCAGUAACAAUUUGACCUGAAUUAUACUUGAAUGUUUGCCUGACUUAAACAUUUAGCUUAGCGAAAUAGGACUAUAUUCUGUUGAAUAUACAGCUUAAGAUAGUUAAAUAUAUGGCUAUGAACAACACAAAGUAGUACUUUAAACUUUGCUCCGUAGUAGUCAUAAAAUUUUAGUCAUAUCUUCCAGAGCCACAGUGUGUCAUUAUUACAUUUGUUAUUAACAGACGUUUUCAGCUUGUUUGUUUUGGGGAUAAUGACUUUCAAGGUUAUGAAUUCAUCCUGUUGCAUGUGAAUCAUUCUUGCAAUUCCUAAUAACAUUCUUGAGAGCUAGUCCUACAAAUUUUUAUUGAAUUAAUAAUAAAGUAAGGGCAACAUAAACGGAAAAAACAUUGAAGGCAAUGAAAACUUCUGGAAUAAAGGAGUAAAAUUUGGAUUUUGGUACCCAGUGGCCAAUUAGUUAAUUUAAUAGUCUCUCAGUUUAUGCACACAUAAAAUACUCAUCAUUUUCAUCAGCAUUUCAUCCAGGAUCCAAGACCACAGGAUUGUUAAAAAUAUAAUUAAAAUAUUUUUAGAAUGAUUCAUGGAGGAUAUCCCCAAAAGGUCACUGGCAGAGUUUAUUUGUUAUUUAUGCUCUAGACAGUUCUUACUUUCUCAUCUCUGGAAGUACUUUACCUAAUAAUUCUACCUUUUUCUCUCCAAAACAUGAAGAGAAAUCAAGUGACCUUUUAGCUACUGUAAAUGUCAUUAUGAGCUGUGGUGUGAACAAGAAGGAAGUGAAUGUUUAUCAAUUCAAUCCUAUAAAUGUUUAGCAGACAUUAAAUGCAAAUAAAACAGGGCUUGAACUUCCUGAGCUCUUCACAAUGACCUAACUUUUACUCCUGCCAAAUAGACACAUACAUGACCUGCCUAGAGUAAUUAGCAGACACAGCAAAUCUCUUGUCUUACAAAUGACCUCCAUUUCUAUGAAACAUUUUUAUUACAUGUAUAUUAACAAGAAAAAUGUUUCUAUACAUAAUGAGCACAAUAACACUACAGUAGAACUAUUCCAGUUUUAGGUGGGUGCUUUGUGUUUUGUCAUCACUAAGUAGGGGACAGGUGAUAAAUAAAAAUAUUACAUGAUUCAUUAUCUCAGGAGAAAAAAAAAAUCAAAAACAAAGAAAGAAAGAAAAAAAAAAAAAAAAGGAAUUUCUUACCCUGCCUAAUUAUCUGCCUAUUCUAUGGAAAACAACUGCACUUUGGCAAAAAAUGAUUGCCUCUCCGCUGUGCCUGAAAUCUUUUUGAAUGAUAUGGAAUUUGUGAAAUUAUGCCAAUCACUAACAAAAUAAGCAUUUGACUGACAUUAAAAUAAGUUUGGGCAAGUGGGAGGGGAGAUGAGAAUUCUCCUCAACAUGUUCAGACUGGCAUAUAUAAUUUCCUCCCAUGAAUUGCCUGUGACAAUGAUUUUCAUUCCAUCAGGAUCAUUACAUAUCUUUUUCAUUUAAUUGUUGUUAAAUGCUAAUUGGUCUACAAGAAAAUCUAUUAUCAUAUUUCAUUUGUCAAGGACAGCAAUGAAAUUUAUGUAUUAACACUAUCAAAUCCAAAAAGAGGAAGCUAUUAAUGUUUUAUCUUAAUUAAAACAUAAUUUCCGUGCUUUAGAACGCAGUAUGCUCCUUCUUAUAUCAGUGGUAUUACAGACUGUAUAGUGUCUUGUUUCCCAUUUGCUCACACAAUCUGAGAUGAAGAUUGACUAUGAAAGGUACAGGAUGCCAUAGGCUUUAUGUGAUUAUAAAUCUAAUUGAUGUCAAAAUGGUUAAAGUGUUGGAUAAUGACUUUGGAAUAUUAAUGAAUGUCUAAUUAGAAAGAUUAAUAGUAUAUAAACUAGAUUUUAAUUUUGGUUCUAGAGUUGAUACAGAGAACUAUCGUGAAAGCACACAGAGACAUGCUCAAUUAUUGUAAUUCUCCUAAUUAUAAAAUCAAUUUCAUGGAAAAAAAAAAAAAAAAAAAGAAAGUGCUGUUUGUGUAGAGUAGAUAAGUCCUCUGGGUUAAACGUUUUCCCAAAUACAAAAGAGAUGUGACUGAACUUAGUAAAAAUGAAGUGGAGAGAGGAGAAAAUAAAUAGGAAGGCUAGAUUUGACUGGUUACUUCAUAGGUUUUGAUCUUACUAAAAUAAUAUGGUAUUGACAGAAAUCCCUGGCUAUACUAUUUUCAAUAUUAUUUGUUGCCAGUACUCCAGAUACAUAUAUAUAUAUAUAUAUAUAUAUAUAUAUAAAAAUAUAAAAAAUCAGAUAAUCCUUCCGGAAUACUCCUUUCUCCAUUUCUUUCUGGAUUGGAGUUAACUCAGCUCUGUAAGUGUUUCCUGCAAUUGAUUAGCUGAAAGAAAGAAAGAACUGCAUCCCUUAGCUUUGCUGGAACUAACUUUCAGAACGACACAGAAUGAAUGAACAAAGUAAGAGUAGGGCAAAAAGCAAUGCUGGAAUCAGAAGAUGGUGUCAUUUUCUGGGAGUGGAAGAUGGCACUCCAGGGCUUAUGGGACUUUAGAGAAGUCUGGGUGGGGAAAAACAUAAAAAUAAAAUUAAGAAGAGGGGAUAUGAGCUGUAUAUGGAAUUCAGUCCUUUCUAAUAUUGCUCUUUCAUUAUUUUGUUAUAUUCUUUAAGGUCUUUCUCAACUCUGUUUCUUCAUUUCUGUUUUGGAUAUUCAGGUCCUUCUCUAAAAAUCACUUCUGCACGGACAGAGGUCUGUGCUUACAUGGAACAAGGCAGCUCCACUGAAGUAGGAACCAUUACAAGAUUUUAUUGUAAAUGCUCUAAUUCACCAAAUUUUCUUAAAGUGUCUGUGAAGCACUGAAAACUGUUAUUCUAUGGACAGCCAAUACCUUUAAGUACAAACUUGAAUACUAGAAUCAUAGAAUCAUAGAAUCAUAGUUUGGAUUGGAAGGGACCUUUAAAUGUCAUGUAGUCCAACACCCAUGCAAUGAGCAGGGACAUCUUAAAUUAGAUCCAGUUGCUCAGAGCCCCGUCCAGCCUGGCCUCAAAUGUUUCCAGGAAUAAGGCAUCUACCACCUCUCUGGGCAACCUGUGCCAGUGUUUCAGCACCUUCAUGGGAAAAAAUUUCUUCCUCAUGCCUAGUCUGAAUCUCCUCUCUUUUAGUUUAAAACCAUUACCCCUUGUCCUGUUGUAAUGAGUCCUGCUACAAAGUCUUUCCACAUCUUUCUUAUAAGGCCCUUUUAAAUACUGAAGUUCUAUUGACUUUUCUAUUAGAAUAAUAUUUUAUUACCAUUAUUUUAUGUGUGAAUGGUAUCUCAUUUAACAGUGUUCUCAGUAAAAAAACAUAAAUAAGAUAAGAGGGCUACAUUAAGGAAGGCUUCUUAAAAGAAGGUUACAUUUUAAGACCAGGUUCUUCCUUAAAAAUCAGGGAAACAGCCAUAAAUGUAAACUGCACUACAGAAAUACAGAGCAAGCCCUCUGUCCAGUUUUAUCGCAUAGAAGAAUAUUGCCUUAAAAUUAUAGAAAUUCUGCUACUUUAGUAGGUUUGGGAAAAACAAAUGCUGCUGAGAGGUUUCUUGGCAAGGAGAAAAAAAAAACGGUCACACAGAAGAAAAAAGUUGGCAAAGGAUACUUAGAGAAACAUAUUGAAGCACAACAUAAAAACCUUAUGAUUGUGGAAUAAUAGGAAUAGAGACUGCGGAAAAACUUUAGGAUGUUUGUAUGUGCAGACGUCAAUUCUGGUAUAGUAAUGACAGGAUUAUGUGAAGUGACAGCUUCACUGGAAUUGGUGGGAGAAAGCCAGCUUAACAAAGAUAGUUUGGAUACCUAGGAAGUAAAUGACUGAAAAGUUCAAAGGUAUCAGAUCAAGAAGGAACCAAAGUUGUGAAUCUGAACCCAGCUUACACCAACUCAGCACUGGUGGUAGGACUGACCCUCCUGCUGCUGCCCUUCCCAGACAGCUCAGAUAGGUGAGACUGGGCAGGUCUCAGGCAGAGGUCAGUAGCCUGCUUCAGGCUGAGAAACAGAGAGGUGAUAUACCAUUCCAGCAAUGAAGCGGGUGAUGCAAGUCAGCUAUACUCUCCCUUCAUUCUCCCAGAGAAGAGAAAUAUGUUGUCUUGACAAGCCCACAGGGUAUGUACUAAUGACUGGCAAAAGGACACAGAUGGGUAUGUGAUGGUGUUGAGAUAGAGCAGAGGUGUUAGGGCCACUUGUUACUCACCUUGAGGACCUUUGUUAACCUUGAUUUUCUCUGUUCCUUAAAGGAGGUGUCAAUGAAAGUCUUAAUUUUGCUACUUAGACACAAACUUGUUUCAUCCUUACCGUUAAAUUUCCCUUUCCUUUCUAAGAAUUCUUGAGCGAGCCUUGAAAAUAAAACAAGCAAAAACUCCACCAAAACAAGUGUUCUAGAGACAGCACAAAACUGAAUGUCAAUGAAUAGCAAAGGUUAUAGAUAAUUAAAUUAGAAACUAAAAAUGUAAAGCUAAAAUAGAAAGUAAAAUGAUUUAGUAAAUUAAUAGGAAAGAAUUAAAAAGGAUCGACGGGAAAAAGAAAAGAGCUUUAGAGACUGGUUUGAGGCUUCUAAGAGAGACUGGAGAUGCAAGAAUGUUGGAGAUGUCAUGGCAGAAAAGCAGUCUAUGAACAAGCUGUAAAGAUCCUAAAUGAAGCCUUUAUAUUAGGUUAAAAAAAAAAAAAAGGGAUGAGGAACAUGCUAGAGAGAGGAGAAAAAGAGAGAAGAUGCCAAUAAAGUAUGUAUCCAAUAAUCAAAGAGAAAUUAAUAAAAGAGAAAAAAAAAUGAGGAUUAAAAAAAAAAAAAAAAGGCAUAGAAGAAAUGCUUGGUUUGGGAUUUUCUUUAGCUUGUGCCUGCUAUUCCAGUUCAACAGAAAGCCUCAGAUAUAGAGAAGAAAUCAUAAAAAAAGGAUUUAGUCAAAAGCAUACUCUGACCUGAAGAGCAAAGAAGUGAAACUGAAAGUGUAAAUGUAUGAAGUUGGAAAUAAAACAAGGCUAAAAAAUUAUUCCUGUUAGAUGCACUACACACUUGAAAAAAAACAUGUAGCUGUUUAGGCAGUUAUGAUAGGAAUGGGAAAAAAAUCACUGGUCAGAUAUAUUGCAUAGAUUAGAGAAGAUGAUACAGAACUUUUCAAAAUUAAAAGGUCCUCCUUUUCAAACCUAUAUUACCAAAGUGAGAGUGUUAUCUUUAGGAAAGAAUCUAAAACUAGUAACUCCACCAGACUACAAGAAGAUAAGCAGAUCCAGUUUAAAAGCACAUGUUUUAAAAAACAGCAUUUAUACAGGCUGUGAGAAUACCUUGCUCAUGAUGUCAAAUUAUGGCUCAGUCUUCUUGAAAGGAAGGGACAUGAAUGAAUGUUGUUAACAGGUUACAUUCACAUUCAGUUGCUGUCACAUCUAAGACACCUUUAAGUAAAUGACAUAAUGAAUGAGGUUGGGAAAACACCAAACAUAAAACAUACCAUCAUUGCAAGUAAAUUGACGAUUUAUGCAUACGAAAAAAGAGAAGUCCUUGGAAUUCACAGCAAUUAAUAAGUAUAAUGGUUUUGGAAACUCUUUCUGCACAGAUAUUAUCCAUGUAAUUCUGUUCCUUUUUGGUGGCUCAUGAGAUUUUAGUCCUAAAAGUACUCAGUAUAUCUGUAUAUCUCAAAUUAGUUCUUGCUCCCAAAAAGUUACUUUAUCACUUUAAUUCCAGCUCUGAAAAAAAGAAGUACUUUUGAAGUCUGUACUAACAGAACCCUGUUAUGGGUGUAUAAGCAGCAUGACAUGGGGCAUUAUAGAACAAUGGAGGUGGCAUCCAUCACUUUGGAGUCUGAGGUUACGAUUCAGAAAACCCAAUGUACAAUAAUAGUAUCAGCAAGAUUGGAGCAUUUUCUUCACUGAAAAUAUUGCAGUCAAUUCUCUGACCACAUGAAGUUACUCAGCAGAUCAAAUUGCUUAUUUUCAGGGUUUAAUUCUAAAGUAACUCCUUUCUAUGGCAAUUAUUUUCCCUAUCACAACUCACAAUUACUGUGAAAACAUUCUUCUGAAAUUGGUUUCUGUGCUGCAAAGUAAGUGAAAUAGUAAACUGUUCAAUUAUUUUGAAUAACAAUGAACACUUUUUGUGGAAAUCUUGCCACCAUUUUUACAAACAUUCAAAUUUGUAAUUUUUGCAAAUUAACUUAAUGAAUUUGAAAUUAGGCUGUUCCAUGUGCAAUGUGAAGAUGUGAUCUGGUUGUUUUCCUUGCUAAGCAGCAAGUUAUAAAUUUCAAUGUCAUUUAUUUUACCCAUUACAAUGAAAGUCAGCUGGAGUAUAGAUAGAAAAUCUGUCAUGUGCAUUUUCAAAAUGGCCAGUCUUCCAUGAAGAAUUAGAUUUUCUUCUGAGAAAUAAAGGUUAUUAAUAUACAGCCAGGGCUGCUUAUUAGUCAAGGAGUCAUGAAAGUUUUAGUUUCUCAUUAGAAAGAGAGUCUAGUCCAGAAAUACCUGUACCUUGCCUGCACUUUCUCCUUCACUAACAGAAAUGAGACCUUUUCAUAGUUAAAACAGCAGUUAGAACCCACAGCAAAUUAUACAUUUAUCCUGGCUCACUGAACAAUGAUUUCUGAGGUCUCAUGUAGUGUUAUCUAUUGCUCUGAAACUACCCAUUCCUCAAGCAUGAUUUCUGAGCCUGUAUUUCUCUAACAGUUUGUAUCAUCACUCCAGUUAUAGAAACACACACGUAUGUAUACUAAAAAAAUAUUGAGGUGUUUCUAUAGAAAAUCUGUAUCUGCAAAAGAUACCAACAUUAAAUAUUUGCAAUGAAAUUCUAAGUCAUGCAUGCCUUUCAACUGAUUCUUUGUAAAGAAUGAAGAAAGAUGAUGGAAAAAUGCUUAAAAUAUGAACCACAUACUCCUUUUCUAAGGUAAUUACUUGUAGAAAGAUACCUGGAUACUUGUAAAGCACAAAUUUUCACUCUGUGCUUAUCUUAGGUAAGUAACAAAGCCUUGCAGGUUCCUUGGGUCAUGUUCCCCUAGAAUGGCAGAGAUGGAAAAGUUUGUAGUGUUUCUCUCAUAGUUGUUCCUUUUCCUGGAAAAAACAUAGCUGGUGUUAUUCACACCAGCCCUUUUUGUGGAUUUCAGGGCUGAUCUGAUUGCUCUCCUUUCAACACCAGUAUAAAGUGGACAUGAAGCUCUUCAAAAGCAACUUCUGUUUUCUUAUCUUGGUCUCAGAGCAGCAUUAGAUGUUCAAAAAUUACAAGAAUCAUGCAUUUCAAGAAGAUCUGUCCUUUCUCCUAUCAAUUUACAGUCAAUAUACAAAUAGCUUGAAUUAGUUGUUAGUGUUUUAUUCUUAAUCUACUAGUUGUUAGUAAGACAGAAUUUCACACUAGGGAAACUGAACCUGUAUUAUUAGAUGUUAUGAAAUUUUAAAAUUUCAAAUAUUUUUCUGUCUGUGUGGACAGUAGCCUAUUUUAUGUUUUUCUGCAAAAUAUUCACUACUGCAACAUAUAUGCCAGCUUCCAUGUUUCUGACUGGUUGCUACCUGCUUUGUUACAAAAAACUUGUUCUUUUGUUUUUUUGUUUUUUUGGUUGGUUGGUUGCUUGUUUUUUUGGUUUUUUUUUGUUUGUUUGUUUGUUUUGUACAAAUAUGUCCCAAUAUCCAGGAGCCAAAGUUUAAGUCUGUGUGUUAUCUACUUCCUAAUUAAUCUUCAAUACACUGGUCUUGAACCACUGCCACAGCUCUGGUAGUUCUUAAAGCUGAAGGGAAAAGUUUUUUUCCAAGAUCAGCUAAAAUCUUGUGAUAUUACAGUCUCCUGUCAUUGAAGACUUUUCAUUGAAGACAAAAAUUUCUGAACAGUCCCUGCACAUCUGAUUGUCCAGCAUGCUUCUUCAGAUAUGGUGAACACAUUCAUCACAUUCUGUCUGAAAAAUCAUUAAAUAGAAUCUUGACUUUUACUUGCAGAUCAUGUAAUUUCUUGUAAAAGAAUGUAACCUCCAAUGUAAUUUAUUUUUGAUAUUUCAAGGAAAAAAUAUUCAAAAUAUGACAACUGAAGCUUAUUCUUUUUGGUUCUUUGCUUGUAACUAUACUGUAGCUUCUUUUCCAUAAAUUUGACUUUCUUCUAUAUAGAGUUGUUUGACUGACAGCUACCUACCUGAUGGGCCUGCAAGAAAUCAUGGCUUUCCUCAUCUGUAUCUAACGUCACAGUUCUGUUGGACUCUUGGAAAAGUAUUGCAGUCACUUGGGUGCACACAGCAGCUCCCUCUUCCUUCCAAUGGCUUAUAUCUGCAUGUCUGAGUAGAUGUCCCUUGUGAUCCUAAUGGAGAUUAGGUGAUUAGGCAUCCUAGAGAGUGCAGAAAUUAAUUCCUUCUUCACUAUAAGAUUUGUCCCUAUUAAAAGUUGCUGGCAUUUUAUUAUUCACACCUGAAUUGUCUUCUGAGGCACCACAUUGCAAACUUUAAUUACUAUUGUUUUUCUUUUUCCCUCGCACUGAGAAUAUUGUGGUUUUGUAUGGCAAUUAAAUAUUGUCUUAUUACUUAGCAGUGAGUGGUACUGCUGUGUUUGAAUUGCUAUACAAAAUAAGUGAUCACUUCUCUUGUUCACAUCUUUCUUACUGACAGCCUGAACACAUCCAGUUACAAUUAUGACAAUUGAAUGAAUGCCAGCUUACUUUCCUAGGACAUAUACCUUGAGAGUCAUCACAAACAUACUACAAAUAUCUUCCUUUUCACUGGAAAUUUCUGCAUCCUCCAUCACUGUAUGUACUGAGUCUUUUAGUAGAUCUUCCUGACAUAUUUUCAACAUAGGGAAAUAAGUACUCCAGCUUCUUAGACUUUUCCCUCUGCAUUAUAAUUUGGUCUGUCGUUGUCCUGUGGUUUGAAUUCCUUCAAUUUUAUGAUAUUUCAUAACAUUAUAUAAUUUCCAUUUCACAAAUAAUUUUGCUAUUUGUGCUGAAUAAUUGAUGGCUAAAUCAGCUGCCUUCUUUAAGUUGGAUACAUGAUAUAUGCAUGAAGUCUCUGUUGUUCAAUUAAAAAUUUAAUUUAAAAUGUAUUUUUAAUUACAGGAUAUUUUUUUCACUAUCCACAAAGUAAUGGAGUUCCCAUAUCUAUAGUAAAAACAUUUUUCUAUUUCUCAGUAUCAGACAAAAAUAUUUUCCUAUCAUUUCAUUUUUAUAAGGGUAAAGUAUUUGUCUUACAAUUUUAUUAGCUGUGCCCAUGUUUCAGCCACAAUCGCUGAAGGUGUACUCAUACACAUGUCGAUUCUUAUGUGUGCGUUUUGAGUUGCCCAGUCCCCAUCUUAUGAUUUCGUAACAUGCACAUGCCCAACACUGUUCUACAUACAUGUACCAGGUGAUCUUCAGCCAAUUCUCAGCUUUUAUCAGUUAAAAAAAAUAAAUACAUUCCUUUUCUUAUCUUUAAUGACAUGUGAGCUCAAUAAGCACUAAUACAUACCUAUUUUUCACUUUUUUGUCUGUAAGUCCAGGUCCAGCAUCCUGAUUUGUCUCUAAACGUCUCCAAUUCCCUUUUCCCAAUACUUUUAAUCACUGCAUUGCUUGCUUAUUAAUCAAGUUCUCUUGCUCCCUAGACUGGUCACUUCCACGGUAUUUCAUGCAUUUCUUUCUGGAAAAUGAGAAAAGGUGAGGUGUUCAUGAAAACCUGCAAUCUUUAUUAAGAAAGCCAUUUAGCCAAAUGUUAAAAUCAGAUUUAACAUGGCAUUCCCCAUAGCUUUAUUCUCUGGAUCAUUAUUAGAUAAUUCUGUCUGUAAUUUAUGUUCCUUCAUCCAAUUCUUUCCAUGUUAUUAAAAUUAAUAUUAAAGUAGGAUGGAUUUGUCAGCAAUGGCAAAGCAGAAGGAUGAGGUGUAAGAGAAAAGAACUGUCUGAGGUGUGUCUGAGGAAUCUGGGGUACCUCAAUGAGCAUUUAGAGUUUCAGGAAGAAGUGGGAUUCAAAAUCUGUGGGAAGAUAUGUAUGUUGGAAUCAGGGGCAUUUCCCUCCCCUAAACAUUCCUCCCUCCUACUGCUCUGAUCUCUAAGGAAGACUCUUACUGUCCUCUUCCUAGGUCCUUUUCUUCCUUCACCUAAACUUCAGUGUUCCCUGAUCCUCACCUUCCCAUGGCAUUUGUCUGCCUUUCUGCAUGUGUCAUCAUUUUUUCUAACUAAGGCUGUUUUUUCCAAUUAUUCUUUUGCAAAUGCUAGACUUUAAGACAUGCUAAAGUAUUAUGUGUAAUAAUAGGGAUUUCUGUGUAAAUAUAUUUUGAGGAUGUUGUACCAGAGCUUUGAGAGAAGCAAAUGAUGACCAAAACACACACAAUAAAAUGUGAGGUCUCUCCUCAUUACCAAUUGGACAAUAACCUUUUCUCUCCUUGGAAGUAGUAGUGUGGAGCCUGAAUGGAAACCUAAACUGUACUCAUCUUUGCUGUAUAACAAAUCACAUGUAAUGAGAAACAUGCAAUAGAGAGUGCAAGUAGGAAGAUCAUUUGUUGGGCAGAUUAUGUUAGUGGUAGUUCAAUUGUAACUGUAUUUCUAUUUUUGCCACUAGUGUAUGAAUAAAGACGUAUGAUCUCAGGGUGUGCAUCUGAUUUCAUUAGCUCAGAACAACAGUACAGACCAAAUCUCUGUAAGAGAAUGACAUUUAUAUUUCAGUGGGAAAAGAUGCAGAAGUAGUUCCCAGGUUGUUGUCCUUGCUACUGCUGUGAUGCAAAAAGGUCUGCACUCUCCUUAGAUAGGAGCCACAUUCCUCCACCAAAUUUGCUUCAAGAAAUAUUCCUAGAGCCCGCAUGUAAGAGUGCUGAGAAGCACUACCAGAAGCACUGGCAAGAAUGGCAGCUAUGUUACAAUAGCAAUAAUUUUUAAUUGGAAAAAUGCUUCCAAAAACUGAAACCAAAACAGAAAAAAAAAAAAAAAAAGAAAAAAAAAGUGGAGAAAUGCAAAGACACUGACACAGAUAACAUCCUUUUUAAGUCUUGACAUGGAAAUCCACCUGCUCCAGGUCAGAGGCAGAUAGCCUUGCUCUCAAACUGCAGAUAAAUAGUGAAACUGUGGGGAAGUCAGACCUCUAUCUCUUUCUUGCCCACCCCAAAAACUGUGUUAUGUUCUGCAAAGUUUGAUUUCUAACUGUAGCUUGAAAUUGUUUUAAUCAUAUGGGACAAUUUUCUGCAUCAAGAUAUCUGGUAUGCCCCACCUCCCUCUUUCAUCAAAGUAGCACUCAUUCACAACUACGUGCCAUUCAUUGUCUGUCUAAAGGCAUUGCAGAGUAUGAAGAAUGCAAAAUGAGUCAAUGACAAUCAAGAGAAGAAUGGGCACAGUCCUCAGGCUUGCAAAUGGGAGGACUGUAGAGACUCAAACCUUUUGUUUCAAAAGUAACUAGUAUUUCUCUGUAUACUUUCUGAACGCUUUUUUUGCCAAAUGGCUAUAAGAAAUGCUGUGUUUGGUGGUAAAGGCAACACCACCUACCAUUCUGGUUUGCCUUGUUUGUCUUAGAAUUCAGAUACAAGUGGAGAAAAGAAGGCCUUUCAUGUAAUGCUUCCUUCUCUUUUACAUGUGGUCUGCUCACUGCAUCACCUGUGGGAAGGGACCUAGGACACUGACGAUUCCUUCGGUACCCCCUUGAUGUCUGUUAUAAUUGUGGGUUUUGGUCUUUUGCUACAAAUCUUACAUAUGUUUGAAGAUAUUAGAGUGGGCUUUGGCUCAAGGAAUGUAGAAUAAGGUCCUGUGAGGUCCAAGGGAACUUGCCUAUAGGUUUACCUGCCAGUGCAGAGGGUUUGAUUUGCUAAGCCAUGGUGUGCAUUUCUAUAUUUAUUGCUGCUCUAAUAGGAAAUACCAUAUUUUAUAGCAUUCACCUUCUUCAGACAGAUAGGGAAUUAUGCUUCCUGUGUUACAAUACUAUGUAUACACCAUAGAAUAGUUGGACUCUGUGUGCUGUGAAUUCACCACUUGCGUUAGAAGAAAAGAGUUAUCAUAGCAAAACAGAUUCUCUUUCCAAAACUGUUGCUAAGACACUGGUUUCACCUAGGAGAAUUAAUUGAAAUGCCUCUGUGUUUGUAAAAUGAUCUAGAUUAAUUCUUUUUCCACAAAUAAACAUCUGCUUGCCAGUUGAUUAGGUAGAGGUCCAAAUACUGCCUGCUCAAAGAACAACCCGUUUUGAAUUAGACUAAUUAUUAUCAUUGACAUAAAUGAAAACUAGGUCAGAUCACAGAUAAAAUUAAUAAUAAAAAUCCCAGAAAACUUUAUUUGCUGUAAAGAUUAUAACUAUAAUUUCCCUUCCUAACAUAUUUUGCUAUUCACUAUUGAACUCCUGUUUAUUAGAUUGCUGAUUUUCAUAGAAAAUUUUAUUUUCUACCAGAAAGCAUUUUUAAGUGCAAAAUAUUCACAAACAGACAUUUAGACCAUUUUUCCUAUUCUGAAACAUUUGUAUCAGAGUCAAAGCUUCUGACAGUGAUUGGAAAUGUUGGUCACCUCAGUAGAGUUGCCAGUUUAAGACAGUAUACCAGCUUGUUCAUUAAAGAUCAGCUGUAUGAAUUCUGAUGAUCCAAAUGCAGUAAGGUGUUUCAGAUCGGUGAUGAAGUGACUUAAGUAAUAAAAAUUUUUAGACAUUUUUAACAAUUUUGAUACAGACUAAUGAAUUUGAAAUCAGGUUUCAGCUUUCCAGCAGUCUAGCCUUUUUAAUACAUUCUCUGUCUGUCUGUCUACUGGCAUAUUUAUUGGAGACAAUAUUUAUAGAAACACUGGCAAAAGUUAAGGAUAGCUUUCUCUAUGUCCCUACUAUAAAUACAUUAAAUUUUAGGCUGUAUAACAGUAACAGAAAAAAUCGUGCUUCAAAACAAAUAUACCAAAUUAUAUGCCACUACUGAAUAGACAGAGAUUCCUGAUAGAAAAUUAAA